Molecule: ribosomal RNA, 253 nt
Filed under: uncultured bacterium
Lineage: Bacteria
Description: partial 16S ribosomal RNA
Rfam family: Bacterial small subunit ribosomal RNA
Source: RNAcentral
UACGUAGGGCGCAAGCGUUGUCCGGAAUUAUUGGGCGUAAAGAGCUCGUAGGCGGCUUGUCACGUCGGGUGUGAAAGCCCGGGGCUUAACCCCGGGUCUGCAUUCGAUACGGGCUAGCUAGAGUGUGGUAGGGGAGAUCGGAAUUCCUGGUGUAGCGGUGAAAUGCGCAGAUAUCAGGAGGAACACCGGUGGCGAAGGCGGCUCUCUGGUACGUGACUGACGCUGAGACGCGAAAGCGUGGGGAGCGAACAGG